RNAcentral lists this ribosomal RNA (497 nucleotides) under uncultured bacterium. RNAcentral's name for it is "bacterial SSU rRNA". It matches the Rfam family "Bacterial small subunit ribosomal RNA", at positions 335 to 849 of the family's 1533-position model. The record is from RNAcentral.
ACUCCUACGGGAGGCAGCAGUGGGGAAUAUUGGACAAUGGGGGCAACCCUGAUCCAGCAAUGCCGCGUGGAUGAAGAAGGUCUUCGGAUUGUAAAGUCCUUUCGACGGGGACGAUGAUGACGGUACCCGUAGAAGAAGCCCCGGCUAACUUCGUGCCAGCAGCCGCGGUAAUACGAAGGGGGCUAGCGUUGCUCGGAAUGACUGGGCGUAAAGGGCGCGUAGGCGGUUUGCUUAGUUAGGCGUGAAAUUCCCGGGCUCAACCUGGGAACUGCGUUUAAUACAGGCAGACUUGAGUUCGGAAGAGGGUCGUGGAAUUCCCAGUGUAGAGGUGAAAUUCGUAGAUAUUGGGAAGAACACCGGUGGCGAAGGCGGCGACCUGGUCCGAUACUGACGCUGAGGCGCGAAAGCGUGGGGAGCAAACAGGAUUAGAUACCCUGGUAGUCCACGCCGUAAACGAUGUGUGCUGGAUGUUGGGUGACCUAGUCACUCAGUGUCGU